GACGUGAAUAAUGAAGACACUUGAUCCGGUUCCGCUGCUUCCUGCUCGGGCCCUCUUGUAAAACCUUCACAGCCUCCUCCACUUCCAACACCGGACUGUGAGCCACACACGACGCAUGAGCCCCUCGAAGUCCACACCCUGAUGAGCUCAAGGACGCGUGAAUCCCCUCGGAGGAUAAUCAGGCUUUUGUCCGCCGGAUCACAAGAAAGUGGCCGAGGAUCCUCCGCCGGCGGUUUAAUGACACACACGGGGACAGGAAACACUGGCGCACACAGGUCAGAGCCUCCGCCGCUCGGGCUCCCUCAGUCCGACGUUAGAGCAACAGAAAAAACAACCACGCAGGCGACGUAUGCGAACACCGCCUCGCGAUGUGGCACCGCUCGCAUAUCUGUACACGAGGCCUCGGCCCUGUCGUCGCUCGCCGCCGGGUUCCGCUGUCGAACGAACAAAGGCCUCGUAAUCUCAUUAAACAGCAGAAUCAUACCGGGCCCAUCGCGUCCGGGCCGCUCACUGCAUAGUUGAUCGCUUUUUAAUAGUCGAACGCGGCCCCCCUGCGCACCAAACAAAGGUUGUUGGGGUGGUGUUUUUUUUAAAACGGUCCGCAGGAAUGUUGGCCGAGCCUUCUGGUUCCCCACCUCCGACACAUCUAUCGAAUAUCUUUAGUGUACUUGUUUUGCUUUUUUUUUUUUUUUUUUUUUUAGCUAUGGCCUCCGUCUUCGUUAGUAUUCACUUUACACCCGAUUCAACCGUGUCGUCGCCUCCUCAGCCCUUCGCCGACAACAUAUUUUUUUCUUCUUUCCACUUCCUUAUCUCGGUUAAAUCGUCGUAAAUUAGCUCCGACGUCACCUCACCAUUUUCUACCGCCGCUCAGGUGCAGACAAAACGCUCCGUCGUCGCCGCCUAUUCCCGAACAAGGACGGUCGAAGCUAAUGGAGCCUGUGGUCAUUAUUAUUUAUUAAAUAUAUAUAUAUAUAUAAAGCGGCCAUGUUUAUGUAUUCAAGUGAUAAAAAAUUUACAAAAAUACACCCUGCUAAUCUUAAAGGGGACGUUCGCCUUUUCUGUCCUUGUUGGGGCUAGCUGUCAUCAGCCAUCUUGUAAAUCCUCAUUUAAGAAGAAGAAGAAGAAGAAAAAAAGGAGAUAUCCGCCGAGGAGAGGCUGCUUUCUCGGCUUCUCUUCUCGAUAGCUGACCUACGCAGGCACGUCAACGCAGUGAACAAUAAAAACACGUCUUUUUAAAAAUCAAAAAAAUAAAACACGGCGUCGUAGAUCCAAAGCAGCGGGCUUGACUUGACGUUAUUUUCUUGUCUUUUUUGUUUGUGUUGCGGCCUGAUCCGGUCGGUGUGUCCCGGUGAGAGUCGACUCCCGUGGCUCAUAAAAAUCCAACACGGUUGUGAAUAAUAAUUCGUGUUCUCUCUCUCUCUCUCUCUCCCCCCCACCUCCUUUCUUUCUCUGUCUCUGUCGGUCAGGCUCUGGAGAGAGGAGGAAUGCAGGCGAGCUGGACUGGACCGCUCACCACAGGCAAGACGGGCAGCGUCACACGGCACAUCCGGUUCUCGUUUUUCAAAAUAAAACACCGUUUUACACAUAUCUUUAGGUUAGGAAAUAGUGUGGCCAUCACGGGCGUAGCACUGGGGGGGGGGGGCAGACUACCCAGGGCCAAGGGUAGUGUUUUUUAAGCAAUUAGUGUCAUAACAUAAAUAAAAAAAAUUGCUGAAUACAUUGGUCGAGAGACUGAACUAUGUAUCUCAAAAACAUAGUGGAGUUUCUCUGAGGUUCUCCCUCUCACACCUAACAAAAGGCGCAAAAUGGUGUAGUGCGCCCAUCACGACUCAGCUCGAUAAUCUGUUAGCUAAUCUACUCACUGAUGACUGGGUCCAAGAAGAGAGACGAGAAAACAAACCAAGGUAAAACAUCUGUAAAUUAAUUUUCAAAAGAAAUUAAUGAACAGUCAGCUAGCAGCUUUCAAAAGAAAGGUGGCUAGCUAUUAGCAAACUCCUACUACGACAGCUAGCUAGCAGCUACCUAGCUGAGAUCAACACAGCUGCUAGUGCUAGUUAGCUUACUGUAACUUUUACCACCUGAAUGCAGUAAAAGUGAGCUAGCUAGCUGUUAGCAAACUCCUACUACGACAGCUAGCUAGCAGCUACCUAGCUGAGAUCGACACAGCUGCUAGUGCUAGUUAGCUUACUGUAACUUUUACCACCUGAAUACAGUAAAAGUGAGCUAGCUAGCUGUUAGCAAACUCCUACUACGACAGCUAGCUAGCAGCUACCUAGCUGAGAUCGACACAGCUGCUAGUGCUAGUUAGCUUACUGUAACUUUUACCACCUGAAUACAGUAAAAGUGAGCUAGCUAGUUACGAUUAGAACACAGUAUCAUAAAUGAAUCAGCAUCAUAGCUGCUGGGGCCCCACAGAAACUGCUCAUGUAUAGGGCCUAGAAUUUGGUGCUACACCCCUGAGUAUGGCCAUUACAGUGUAUGAAAUAAGCUGGAGUGUCAUGGUGAGGGGGAUAUUUGAAGGAAACACCCAGGGCCUUAACAUGCAUGGAGGGAUUAUGAAAAAGUGUGUCUUUUUGUUGUGCCUUUGUGGUUGUUUUGUCCUGGUGGUUUUGAGUCCACUCGUGGUUGUGAGUCCAUGUGACGUUGUGAGUCUCUCUUGUCAUUUGGAGUCCUUGUGCUCAGUUUGUGCAUCUUUUAAAUCCGGGGCAUUUCGGUCGUUUUGUGUCAAUGUGGUCUUUUUGUGUCGUUGUGGUAGUUUGCAGUCGUUGUGGUUGUGUUGGCUCUCUGGUCGCUCUGUUGUGUCACUGAGGUCGUGUUGAGUCUCUGCGGUUGUCUUGUGUCUCUGUUGCCGUUGUGCGGAUGUGACAAUGGAUACAUAAAAAGCAGAAGGUGGUCCACUGAGGUUGCAUAUGUACGAAACCCCUGAUAUUGGUGUGCAGCACCACUGGUUACGAGUCCUCCGUCAAAACAUAGGCUACUUUGAAUUGCCAGAGGGAAAAGCACUUAUGAUGUAGAGUGAUAUAGUAUCAGUUAUGUAAUGUUACUGGGAGGCAGUUUGGUGCUGGGAAUGAUGAGGAGACCAAAACCAUGAGCCAGAUGAGGCAGAAGAAUAACUGUUUGGACUUUGUUAAUAAAUAACUUUCAGUACAACAAUAGGAUAUAAACUCCUUUCACUUGUAAUAUUAUACAAACUCAUACUAAUCAAUGCAGAUUCAAGGAGAAUUUAGAGAUUUCCUACUGGUUGGUUCGAGUGUGCUCUGCAUACUUUGUAGGAAAACAAUGGCUUUUGACUCAGAUAUGACCCUCCAUGUCAACAUACUUUCAAAAAAAAUGCCAUGAUUGUUUUUUUUUUUUAAUUGGAAGCUUUAUUUUGAAGCUUGACGCGCAGAGCUUCCUGUAUAAUUCAGACUGUCUCCGUCGGACCUGACGCACUUUUCUCGGCAACAUCACCCCCCUCCCCCAUCUCCUCCUCCUACUCCCCCCCCCCCCUCCUGCCGGAUCAACGCUAUGGCCGUCACGUGACCUGUCACACAACUGAUGUGUGUCACGUUUUAACCGGGAGGAGCUGAGGGAUGAACCUGGGAGGAAGGGCCGGGAUUCAUACUUAAAGGGCUUACUGCAUCUGUUAAUGGCCCGGGCCGCUCAUCAUGUUCCUGUGGGACAACACACAGAGUGUGUGUGUGUGUGUGUGUGUGUGUGUGUGUGUGUGUGUGUGUGUGUGUUUUGCAGGAAAAUAUAACUGUAAUAAUCCUGUCAUAUUCCCUCUGACGUUAAAGGAGCAAUCUGUAGACAUAAGCCUGCAGUAUAUUAAUACUGGUCAGGGAUUGGAUUUAUCACUUUUAUGAUCAAAACAGUUACUAACGAGAUAAAAGGAAGCGAGCUAGAAAUAAAUAAGAGCUUCCCGGAAUCCCGAAUAAAUAAACAUACAUUACCACAAAAUGUACUUUAAGUGUGAAAAACUAAGUUAAAUAAAGUGCUCAUUAUAAAGACGUUGCUUAAAUUAUUAGUUGACCAACAGGAAAAUUAUUUAAUAAAACACAAUAAAAUAGUUAGAUAGAUAUAGACAUUUGCCCCAUUGCCGAUGGUGCUUUUUCGUCUAUUUUUUUAAACUCUAAAUUGAACCAUAAUUUACUAAAUGAAUAUCAUGUGGUAUUAAAUUAGACUUGAAACUAGAGAUUGAUCUGUAAAGUCCCCAGGAAAAUGUUUACAGGAAGUGAGAGUCUUUCACAAAAAGGCUUCUGGAGAAACUGACUUAUUUUUGCAUCCCUUUGCCGCGCCCUCUGCUGGUCAUUCCAGAAGAUACAGGCUUUAGGCACUUCCGCAUUGGCUUCACGUUCCGGACACAGUAGGUUUUUUUUCUUUUUUCUUCUCAUAUCUUUAUUGUGUACCAACCAAAACAGCCUGAUACAAUCUUUUUUAACUUAUAAAUGAAGAAUAAAACGACUGAGAAUUUCAAAUAAUUGAAUUAAAUAUAUUAUAUCGUAUAUAUAGUUAAAAUUAUACAAUAAAAUAAAAUAGAGGUCUGAUCAGGAAUGGAAAAGUGCAAGUUCUCAUUGACAAUUGACAAAGGCUUGUUUGGAUUUUUGCACUUUUGAAAGUUGUUUUUUUUAAUAAAACAGUUUUAAAUAAAUAAAUAAAUAAAGGUUUAGAGCCAGUAAAUCCACAUCUGUGGUCUAUUUAUCUAUAUCUCCAUCAAAUUCACAGGCACCCGCUCAUAUGUUGAACCUACAGUAAUGCAACUCUUCUGUCGACCAUAGAAUAUGACCCCUAGUUUCAUACAUCGAGACUAAAACUUACAGUAUUGUUGUCUUUCGAUUUUUAUUCAUUUUUCACAGGUACAGGAAGCCCCGCUUGCGCAGGGCAUCAAAAAAUUGGGUAAAACUCUUAUUGUUCCUCUCCACGGAAAUCUUUAGUAAAAGGCGAAAGAUUUAUACGAUCUGAAGAGAAACAAGAGUGAUCUGACUUCAUUCUGAAGUAUCGAGUUAAAUGAAGGACGACGGCACAACUUUAGGUGCCGGUUUACAAAGUCACUCCACCACAAUUAGUACGACUUGUGUGAUAUAACAUUAAAAUACCGUGUUGUUGUGAACUCUGACGACUUUUGAUGCGAAAAUCGUGCUAUUAUUUUCGGUUUUAGUUCCUUUAUUUUGCGGCGCAGUGCAUGCUGGGAGUUGGGUUUUCUCUCGAAGCACGUUUUUGUAAAGUUGCCUCGCUGUCGUAUCGUAAAAUGUAACGGUGGAAUGAACUCUACGUUAAGAGGCGCUGCUGCUUCGACUGACGGUUUUAUUUCCUGUUGUAUUAAUGUCCAACAGUUUAAAUAAAUACUGUUAACGUUCCAAUGUCUCCGCCCCCUCACACACACACGUCUUCUAAGUCCUGCUGCAACAUGCAGAACCACGCCCCAUGUGGUGAUGAUGGUGACUGCAGAUUCCACACAUGAUUAUCACUGGUUAGAAUAAACUAAGAAAAAAUAAUAGUUAAAAAAACCAAAAACAUAUUGUGGUGUCGGGGCCACGUCCUGAAUUUAUGAUAAAUGAAUAAAUGAAUAUUCUCCAUUACAAGUCAAAGCCCUGCAUUGACAGUGUAAGUAAAGAUAAAGUAUAUAAGUUUAAGUACUUCAAAAUUACCUUUGAUACUAUAUAUGAUGUCAUUACAUACUCACAGUUUUUUAUUACUGUAGUUAUUUGAUACGUUUAUAACUAUUUUAUAUUCGACUGCACAAAUAUAUAUAUAUAUAUAUAUAUAUAUAUAUAUACACACACAUAUAUAUACAUAUAUUUUGUGUAUUAGAAAGAGCUAAAAUACACAAGGGUCAAUGGCAGUGGUCACUCCAUAGUGGACCAAAAGCAGAAAGGCACACGUAAAAAAUGUUUCAAUCGGUAAAUAAACAAGUCACAACAAUAUUUUUUUGUAAUAUUUCGAUUUGUUUUAACUGAAAAUCCACAUCUUCGGUUGAUUCUAUUAUUUUAUGUCCAUUCUAAGUUGUAUUCACUUGUACCCCAUCAUAAAUCUAAAUCCCCCCCACUGAUAUUUCUAUUGGGGAUUUCUAUCCGUGCUUUCACCGUUAGGGCCCCUCGUCUUUGGAACUACCUGCCUGAUGAGGUAAGGCUCUCAGACUCUGAAAAGAACUUAAAGCAGAUGUUUGAAUUAAAUAUUUAAAUUUAAUUUUUUUGUUGUUUGUUUAAUAUGCAAGGAAAAUGUGGCAAACCAACGUAAGCCUGGCUGAGUGAGUUAGGUUGUGACCCUUACAAUAUUACAGAGAAACCAGAUUUAGUUGUAGGUGAGAGAAGAGAAAUGGGGGAGAGAGGAGAGGUGAGUGGAAAAGGAGGGUAAGGAAUAAAGAGGGGGUGAGAGGAGAGAGAGACCAGGAACAGAUGUGUCACUGUCGUCUUUAACAAGAAUGACACAAUGUCAGACUGAUUCUUAUGAUGCCAAUAAUGCUACUAAAACUUAUAGAUGUAAUGAUGUUGUCAAUGAUAAUGAUGGCACCGGUUAAUAUUAGCAUUAAGUAUUAUAUCAAAUAGAAUUGUUUUUUUAAGAAUACAUGAGGAAACUGGAGAACCCGGCGUAAACCCUCACAUCAUCACAACAUAAAUUAUCUCAAGGUAGAUCUGGAGUCAGAGAUGCGUUCAGAAAGAGUACAGAGAGAGAGAGAGAGAGAGAGAGGGAGGGAGAGAGAGAGAGAGAGAGAGAGAGAGAGAGAGAGAGGAAUAAUACAAACUACGGAGAGAGAAAACCAAGUUAGUUAGAUGUGUUAGUGACAGAAAGGGAAAUGUUGUAACAGUGUCAGCUGUUGUGUCAAAGACCCUGAAAGAGUCGGAUUCUGUUCCAGGUUAAAGUCUGUUGCUUUUUGUGGAAUCUCCUCCUGCACCUCGGUCACCAUGGGUUUUGGAGCCGGGGGAACAUUCGUGGGGGACUGCAGCUUGUCAAGAUCACGCAAAAGUUUCCCAAGAGUCGAAACAGGCUUGAAGAUUUCCGCUACGACGUUCAUCCCUAGCACACCAUAUUGGGUGCUACAACAGUCCUCGUCCUCAACUAUCAACACUGCCCUCCCCAUGAAUUCAAAGUCUCCAUUUUGAAAAUCUAGCACUACAUACCCUUGAGUUGGGGUUUUGAGCCCAUUGGCUGCUUUAACUUUACGAAAGGGUAUUUCAGUUUUGUCUCUCAUUUGAAUAUCCUUAAAGCUUUUUCGGAAAAGGGAGUGAUUAAGAAGAGUUACUGGAGAACCUGUAUCCAGCAUAAACGGGAUUUUAACCCCAUUUACCACCAUUUCCACCAUUGUAUAGGGACCUACAAAAGAGGGCUUACUAGGGACAUUCUUUACAUCAGCGGUCAGUCUUCCUGCAGUGGCUGGGGCCGUUGAACACUUUGGCUUCUUCCAUCUCUGUGGUUUCCUCAGUCCCAGAAAGUGUCGGAUCCUCUUCCAGGUUAAAUCCUUUUGCUUUGUGGGGAUCUCCUCAGGGACCUCCUUCUGCAUGGGUUUGGGAUCAGGGGAGGCAUGUGUGUGGAUCUCCUCAGGUUCCUCAGUCUCCAUGGGUUUGGGAUCAGGGAGGGCAUUCGUAAGGGACUGCAGAUUGUCAAGCUCACACUCAAGGUUGUCAACACUAGAAACAGAUUUCCAGAUUUCUAAUAUGACAUUCAUCCCUAGCAAACCAUAACGGGUGCCAAAGCAGUCAUUCUUAACUAUCAACACUCCUUUCCCCAUAAUUUCAAUGUCCCCAGCCUGAAAAUCUAGCACCACAUACCCUUGGUAUGGGACUGUGAGCCCAUUGGCUGCUUUAAUUUUGAGCCAGGGUAUUUCAGUUCUGUCUCUCAUUUGAAUAUCCUUAAAGCUUUUACGGAAAAGGGAGUGGCUAAGAAGAGUUACUUUGGCACCUGUAUCCAGUAUAAAUGGGAUUUUAACCCCAUUUACCACCAUUUCCAGGCGUGGACAGUUGCCUAAAAAGGAGUGCCCAUCAGGCACAUCUUGCACGUUACUGGUCAGUCGCCCUUCAGUUGCCGGGGAGGUCGGUAUCCCACCAUGUUGGCACGUCAUCGUAGGCAGGUUGUUAACCCGCUGCUUCAUGGUGAGCCUAUCAGCUUCAUACCUUUGGCUGUCCUCUUGGUAUGAGGUGCUGCUGGGUGCAGGGUCCUUUGACUUCUCCCAUCUCUGUGGUCUCCUUAAUCCCUGAAAGUGUUUGACUCUUUCCCAGGAUGAAUCCUUUUGCUUUGUGGGAAUCUCCUCAGACACUUCAUUCUGCAUAGGUUUGGGAUCAGGGGAACCAUUUGUGGUGAUCUCCCGCUUCUCAAGCUCACGCCGUAGGUGGUCCGGCCUCUGCCUCACUGUGAGGAUAUUGACUUCAUACCUUGGGCAGUCCUCUUGGUUAGACGUUCCAACUUUCUCCUGUUCUUUUUGGAGAAUCUGCUUUUCCCCCCUCUCCGCCUGAAACUCCUCCACCAUCUUUUGACCGACAGCGUCCUGUUUAACCCCUCAGGUUUUUUGUGACACACUGUCUGUUUUCACUGUCAAGUUCACUGAAUUUUGUCAGUUGUACACAAUGUAGUUUUAUAAACACAGCUCAUCAAAAGUCCUUCAUGCGGCUCAUCUGAACCUUUGUUCUCUUUACUGUUUUUCUUUAUUUUGGGAAUGGUGUAGAAUGUUUUGGUAGUAUCAGGAUUUAAGUAAUUUAGAUGUGUUAAGUUGUAAGUCGCUGAGCAGAUGAGAAGUUCCUUUUAUGCGUCCCACAAAAGGGUCGUUUGUCUUAUCAGAUCAAAAAUGUUUUCUUCCUCAUGAUGUUUUGUCAAAAGGUGGAAGGGUUUGAAUGAUUUUACUGGAGAGCUGCAGUCCCACAUACACAUGAGAGUUGAUGAUGUCACAAUGGUGGAUGGAAUCCUUUUGAAGUUGGCUUUGAUCUUAAAGAUUCCACUUUUUCUUCUCAUCUAAAUCACAGACUGACAUUUCAAAUGUAAACAUUCAAUUGUAAAACGUGAAAAGUUGUCACUCUCAACACUGAAAACAGGUUUAAAGGUUUAUUGAUCUCAAAUUGACGGACAGGCCAAACAGAACGGUUUCACACUGCAGUUGUUUGUUUUUUAUUAAUAUGAGCUGAAAAUCACAAAAUGCACAUUUUCUAGUAAAAGUUACGCUCCUCAUUGACAAAUUUACAAAAACCUGGAUUAAAAAUCAAGGAUUCACAAAAAAAAAA
Scophthalmus maximus (turbot) is the source of this 9185-nucleotide long non-coding RNA. RefSeq lists it as uncharacterized. The record is from RefSeq and is a predicted model, not a curated record. The transcript has 2 exons. Lineage: Eukaryota; Metazoa; Chordata; Actinopteri; Pleuronectiformes; Scophthalmidae.